Non-coding RNA from Cricetulus griseus (Chinese hamster), 141 nucleotides. The record is from Rfam. NCBI's taxonomy places the organism in Eukaryota, Metazoa, Chordata, Mammalia, Rodentia, Cricetidae.
UUGUCUGCUUAUGAAUGGACAGGAUGCCAGUCUGGCAGUUUGCAUUGGCAAUAAAUCACCACUAGACAUUUUAUUUAAAAUUUGGCACUGGCUUGGAAGAGUGANGGAUUGUCAAUUUGUUUUUAUUUUGAAGCCAGGCAC